UUUUGAGAUGGAGUCUCGCUCUGUCACCCAGGCUGGAGUGCAGUGGCGCGAUCUCAGUUCACUGCAACCUCCAUUGUUUCUGAGACGGAGUCGCCCAGGCUGGAGUGCAGUGAGUGGCUCAGUCUCAGCUCACGGCAACCUCCGAGUCCUGGGUUCAAAUGCCUGUGUCAUGCUCAUUUUGUAAGCCCUUGCUUGCCUCGAAUAGAAUUUUAUUAAUAAAUUUACCUUAAAUAGAUGUAAUUCAUCAGUAGAAAACCUGCAAAUGGGUAAGCUCCUCAAGACAGAGCUUCUUCUCCAUCUUUGUGCACCUCUGAACCCAACAUGGUAACUUCCACGCAGUAAGGGCUCAAGGGUUCCACUGAUCAACCUG
This 370-nucleotide long non-coding RNA is filed under the name Homo sapiens (human). Its description in RNAcentral is "non-protein coding lnc-MYB-12:1". The record is from RNAcentral. Lineage: Eukaryota; Metazoa; Chordata; Mammalia; Primates; Hominidae.